CAGGCGUCUUCCUGGUGGCUGCUGGGCCACUUCGGUCAGUGGGAUUGGAAGAGAGCCAUCACCUGCUUCCCUGAUGAUGUCCCAGCUCUUACAUUUGAUCUUCAACCAACUUAAAAUGCCGGUCAGAACAGCUGGUCUGCGCUACGUAAUCCAACAGCAGAUCUGGUGUGCUGGAAUUCCACUGUCAACGGACCAUUCGGCCCCGGUGCGGACCAAGCCUCAGGGUGAGAAUGCCGCUGGUGGGAAGAACCCUUUUGCCGGUACCCGCAGUGUAGCGAAACCCUCACGACAGAGAUGGGUAGCCCCUUCUCCAGUGUUUCCACUGGGACCUUGAGCACAUCUUCUGUGUGCUGAUGCUGGUUGUCCAGGUUGCUUGAAUAAACAUUUCACAGGAAUUGAGUUGCUUACCUGAUAGAACUGAAUAUUGAUCAGAAAUAUUUUUGUGAACUUCCUCACCCUGCGAACAGCAAGCAUGCAUCUUCUCAGGAAACUUCUGGUUUUUGUAUCACCCAGUGCAUUCUGUCAUCUACAGGGCCUCAGAAAAUUGCUUCUUAGCUAAGGAGGACAGCAGGUAGAUGGGUCCAGGCUUUCUGGUAAGAUUUCUUGAUGCCUCCUAUACUCCUUGCCUUGAAG
This is a long non-coding RNA of Dromaius novaehollandiae (emu), 633 nucleotides long. RefSeq lists it as uncharacterized. The transcript is spliced from 3 exons. Lineage: Eukaryota; Metazoa; Chordata; Aves; Casuariiformes; Dromaiidae. The record is from RefSeq and is a predicted model, not a curated record.